RNAcentral lists this ribosomal RNA (167 nucleotides) under uncultured bacterium. Its description in RNAcentral is "partial 16S ribosomal RNA". It matches the Rfam family "Bacterial small subunit ribosomal RNA", at positions 328 to 491 of the family's 1533-position model. The record is from RNAcentral.
GCGCGGGGGGCCUACGGGAGGCAGCAGUAAGGAAUAUUAGGACAAUGGGCGCAAGCCUGAUCCAGCCAUGCCGCGUGGAGGAAGAAGGUCCUCUGGAUUGUAAACUCCUUUUAUCCGGGGCUAAAAUGGGGCUAUACGUCCGUAUUGAAGGUACCGGAGGAAUAAGC